AACAUGCAGUCGAGCGAACUUUUGGGAGCUUGCUCCCAAAAGUUAGCGGCGGACGGGUGAGUAACACGUGGGCAACCUGCCUAUAAGACUGGGAUAACUUCGGGAAACCGGAGCUAAUACCGGAUAACAUAUGAGACCACAUGGUCUCAUAUUAAAAGAUGGCUUUUAGCUAUCACUUAUAGAUGGGCCCGCGGCGCAUUAGCUAGUUGGUGAGGUAAUGGCUCACCAAGGCGACGAUGCGUAGCCGACCUGAGAGGGUGAUCGGCCACACUGGGACUGAGACACGGCCCAGACUCCUACGGGAGGCAGCAGUAGGGAAUCUUCCGCAAUGGACGAAAGUCUGACGGAGCAACGCCGCGUGAGCGAAGAAGGUCUUCGGAUCGUAAAGCUCUGUUGUUAGGGAAGAACAAGUACCGUUCGAAUAGGGCGGUACCUUGACGGUACCUAACCAGAAAGCCACGGCUAACUACGUGCCAGCAGCCGCGGUAAUACGUAGGUGGCAAGCGUUAUCCGGAAUUAUUGGGCGUAAAGCGCGCGCAGGCGGUCCUUUAAGUCUGAUGUGAAAGCCCACGGCUCAACCGUGGAGGGUCAUUGGAAACUGGGGGACUUGAGUGCAGAAGAGGAGAGCGGAAUUCCACGUGUAGCGGUGAAAUGCGUAGAGAUGUGGAGGAACACCAGUGGCGAAGGCGGCUCUCUGGUCUGUAACUGACGCUGAGGCGCGAAAGCGUGGGGAGCGAACAGGAUUAGAUACCCUGGUAGUCCACGCCGUAAACGAUGAGUGCUAAGUGUUAGAGGGUUUCCGCCCUUUAGUGCUGCAGCAAACGCAUUAAGCACUCCGCCUGGGGAGUACGGUCGCAAGACUGAAACUCAAAGGAAUUGACGGGGGCCCGCACAAGCGGUGGAGCAUGUGGUUUAAUUCGAAGCAACGCGAAGAACCUUACCAGGUCUUGACAUCCCGUGACAACUCUAGAGAUAGGGCUUUCCCCUUCGGGGGACACGGUGACAGGUGGUGCAUGGUUGUCGUCACCUCGUGUCGUGAGAUGUUGGGUUAAGUCCCGCAACGAGCGCAACCCUUGAUCUUAGUUGCCAGCAUUCAGUUGGGCACUCUAAGGUGACUGGCGGUGACAAACCGAGGAA
Molecule: ribosomal RNA, 1137 nt
Filed under: Bacillus sp. (in: firmicutes)
Lineage: Bacteria; Bacillati; Bacillota; Bacilli; Caryophanales; Bacillaceae
Description: bacterial SSU rRNA
Rfam family: Bacterial small subunit ribosomal RNA
Source: RNAcentral